CCCUUAGAUGUUCUGGGCCGCACGCGCGCUACACUGAAGGAAUCAGCGCGUCUUUCUCCUUGUCCGAAAGGACUGGGUAACCCGCUGAACCUCCUUCGUGCUAGGGAUUGGGGCUUGUAAUUCUUCCCCAUGAACGAGGAAUUCCCAGUAAGCGCGAGUCAUAAGCUCGCGUUGAUUACGUCCCUGCCCUUUGUACACACCGCCCGUCGCUACUACCGAUUGGAUGGUUUAGUGAGAUCCUCGGAUUGGUCCCGGCGCGGCCUCUGGUCGUGCCGGAGUGCCGAAAAGAAUGUCGAACUUGAUCAUCUAGAGGAAGUAAAAGUCGUAACA
This 330-nucleotide ribosomal RNA is filed under the name uncultured eukaryote. RNAcentral's name for it is "partial 18S ribosomal RNA". It matches the Rfam family "Eukaryotic small subunit ribosomal RNA", at positions 1470 to 1796 of the family's 1831-position model. The record is from RNAcentral.